GGAAGUAUAGCCCAAUGGCAGGGCAUUCGACUGCAGAUCGAGAGGUGGACCGAUCAAAUCCGCCGACUCCUU
This 72-nucleotide transfer RNA is filed under the name Paramuricea clavata. It matches the Rfam family "tRNA". From Rfam's summary of the family: Transfer RNA (tRNA) molecules are approximately 80 nucleotides in length. Lineage: Eukaryota; Metazoa; Cnidaria; Anthozoa; Malacalcyonacea; Plexauridae. The record is from Rfam by way of RNAcentral.